RNAcentral lists this ribosomal RNA (2078 nucleotides) under Bifidobacterium longum. RNAcentral's name for it is "bacterial LSU rRNA". It matches the Rfam family "Bacterial large subunit ribosomal RNA", at positions 1 to 1943 of the family's 2925-position model. The record is from RNAcentral. Lineage: Bacteria; Bacillati; Actinomycetota; Actinomycetes; Bifidobacteriales; Bifidobacteriaceae.
UGUUGCUUGCAAGGGCGUAUGGUGGAUGCCUUGGCAGACAGGACCGAUGAAGGACGUUUGAGGCUGCGAUAUGCCUCGGGGAGCCGCCAACAGGGCUUUGAUCCGAGGAUUUCCGAAUGGGGGAACCCACCGACCGUCAUGGGUCGGUACCGGCUUCGGCCGGGGGGUACGCAGGGAAGUGAAACAUCUCAGUACCUGCAGGAAAGGAUAUUCCGUGAGUAGUGGCGAGCGAAAGCGGAUGAUGGCCAAACCUUGCGCGUGUGAUACCCGUCGGGGGUUGCGCGCGGGGUGUUGCGGGAUCGCGUGCGCCGGCUCCGACGGGCCGGCCGGCAGUUGCAGAAAACCAUGUGUCAGGGGAACCGGGUUGAAUACCGGGCCGCAGAGGGUGAGGGCCCCGUACCUGAACGCGCAUGGUCUGCCGAUCGCGUCUCCCAAGUAGCACGGGUCCCGUGGAACCCCGUGCGAAUCCGCCCAGACCGUUGGGUAAGCCUGAAUAUUCCUGUCUGACCGAUAGCGAACGAGUACCGUGAGGGAAAGGUGAAAAGUACCCCGGGAGGGGAGUGAAACAGUCUCUGAAACCGUGCGCCUACAAUCCGUCGGAGCCCUUUUGUGGGGUGACGGCGUGCCUAUCGAAAAAUGAGUCUGCGAGUCAGUGGCAUGUGGCGAGCAUAACCCGUGUGGGGUAUGCGUAGCGAAGGCGAGUCUUAAAAGGCGUUUGAGUCGCGUGUCCUGGACCCGAAGCGGGAUGAUCUAGCCCUGAGCAGGUUGAAGCGCGGGUAAGACCGCGUGGAGGACCGAACCCACCUGGGUUGAAAACCGGGGGGAUGACUUGGGGCUAGGGGUGAAAGGCCAAUCAAAUUCCGUGAUAGCUGGUUCUCUCCGAAAUGCAUUUGGGUGCAGCGUCGGGUCAUUACGUCCCGGGGGUAGAGCUACUGGAUGCUUGCGGGCCCGUAUCGGGUACCAACAGCAACCAAACUCCGAAUACCGGUGACGCGUAUCCCGGCAGUGAGUCGGCGGGGGAUAAGCUUCGUCGUCGAAAGGGAAACAGCCCAGACCGUCGUCUAAGGUCCCGAAGCGUGUGCUAAGUGGGAAAGGAUGUGGAGUCGCAUAGACAGCCAGGAGGUUGGCUCAGAAGCAGCCACCCUUGAAAGAGUGCGUAACAGCUCACUGGUCUAGUGGUUCCGCGCCGACAAUGUAGCGGGGCUCAAGCACACCACCGAAGACGCGGCAGUAUUUUGUACUGGGUAGGAGAGCGUCCCAUGAGGGGCGAAGCGGCCGUGUGAACGCGCCGUGGACUUCAUGGGAGUGAGAAUGCAGACAUGAGUAGCGAGAGACGGGUGAAGAUCCCGUCCGCUGGAUGACCAAGGGUUCCAGGGCCACGUUCAUCGUCCCUGGGUGAGUCGGGUCCUAAGGCGAGGCCGACAGGCGUAGUCGAAUGGAUGAACGGGUCGAUAUUCCCGUACCGGCUUUCAGCCGCCAAAACCGAGGCUUGGAGUACUAACCUCCGGGUCCGGGCUUACUGCUCCUUCGGGGGCGGGAUGCCCUGGCCUGUUGGGACCGAUCCUUGUAGUAGGUCAGCGCAGGAGUGACGCAGAAGGGUAGCCGGCCGCGGAGGUGGUCUUCCGUGGUCAAGCACGCAGGGCGUGGGACAGGCAAAUCCGUCCCGCAUGGGUCCGAGGUGCGAUGAUGGGGGCCUUAUGGCCCGAUAUCCGGUGAUCCCGGCUGCCGAGAAAAGCUUCGGCGUCAGGCUCAAAGCCGCCCGUACCCCAAACCGACACUGGUGGUCAGGUAGAGAAUACCAAAGCGAUCGAGCGAAUCCUGGUCAAGGAACUCGGCAAAUCACUCCCGUUCCUUCGGUUUAAGGGAGACCCCCGAUGGUGAACACACUUGCUGUGGGAGCUUUUGGGGGUGGCACAGACCAGGGGGUAGCGACUGUUUACCAAAAACACAGGUGCAUGCGAAGGCGCAAGCCGCUGUAUAUGCACUGACGCCUGCCCGGUGCCGGAAGGUUAAGAGGAUCCGUCAGCCUUCGGGUGAAGCGGUGAAUUCAAGCCCCGGUAAACGGCGGUGGUAACUAU